GCCCUCUUAGCUCAGUCGGAUAGAGCAGCCGCCUCCUAAGCGGCAGGUCGCAGGUUCAAAUCCUGCAGAGGGCGCCA
RNAcentral lists this transfer RNA (77 nucleotides) under Billgrantia gudaonensis. RNAcentral describes it as "Halomonas gudaonensis tRNA_Arg_CCT". It matches the Rfam family "tRNA". Rfam says of the family: Transfer RNA (tRNA) molecules are approximately 80 nucleotides in length. Their secondary structure includes four short double-helical elements and three loops (D, anti-codon, and T loops). Lineage: Bacteria; Pseudomonadati; Pseudomonadota; Gammaproteobacteria; Oceanospirillales; Halomonadaceae. The record is from RNAcentral.